CUGCCCCUCGCUCCCUCACGCACCCACAAUCCCUCCCCCGAAACCCUUGCUGCCGCCACCUACGCCUCUUGCUCCGUCGUGUUCCGGCGGGCCUCGCCGACUGUGCUCCGCCCUCUUCGACGCCCACCAACCUAGCCGCAUGGCACGGCCAUGGCCAUGGCGGCGGCCGGAUCCACCCCCUCCCUCAUCUCCUCGCUGCCGCCACCUCCUCCCCGUCCUACAGCGGCGUGUCCCACCACCACCUCCUUCCUCGAUGCGUCCCGCAGCGACGCCCAUCGCGUCCCGCAGAUGCCGUCCCUCUCCCUCAAUCCCCACCGCGUUCCCCAAUCCCCACCCCAACCAAAAUCUUCCCCAUCUCCCCCGGCCGAUUUUCCUCCCGUCCGCGUCCCCUUCCCCACCCCCGCUCCCAGAUCACGCCGCGCGCCGCCCCUGACAUCCGUGGGAACCCCACCCCGCCACCGACGAGGCCCGAUCCCCCGGGGGCCCAGCCAAGAUGGUGCUCGCGUAGCUGGGUUGGUUGGGCAUGAGAAUCCAGAAGACUGACCGUCGGGGCCUUGCGGGAAGCGGCCAGUGAAGACGACGAGGACAAGGACGGCCACCAUGAGGAGGGCGGCGAAGGGCGCGCCGACCCUGCGGCGCUAGAUGCUGCCCAGCUCAUGAGGCCCCAGCCGAGCUCGGCGUGCCCUCCUGCUCAAGCUGCUCCAGCCACUAGCGGCUCCUGCCCGCCUUGGCAUCCCGCGCCCGCCGCCCCUAGGUCCUUCACCAGCGCGGCCUGCCGCAGCUCAUACACCGCCUCCUCGUUCGUCGUCCGCGUCACCACCAGGCUCGGCCUCGGCGCCGCGCCGCCCCUCGACCUCCAUGCCACAGCGGGGAGCAGGCCAUCGCCCAUGUGUACUUAAGACGUCGCAUCCACCACCUCCGUCGCCAGAUCCAAAGCAGAUUUAGGGUGGAUAUGGAGGUGGCGCUGCAGGCGUGUGAUGCCGCGGACUGGGUCUACAAGGGAGAGGGCGCGGCGAAUCUCAUCCUCAGCUACACCGGCUCCUCACCCUCCAUGCUUGGCAAGGUAAUGCGGGCCAAGAAGGUCCUAAAUGACAAGGCACAACCAGCACCAAACUAUGUAAACUUCUCAAGCUACGAGCAGCUCAUGUGGGGUGACAUCCCAGAAUUGAUCGAGUCUGUCAAGCAAGGUUCUGUGGCUCAAGCUUAUGCGGUACAUGUCAUGAGCCAACAUGCCGUCUUCAGGGAGCUCUGCAACAUGCUGGAUCCAGGGAAGCCGGUCUUCAACCCCAAGAAGGGCAAGCCCAGCGUCUUCAUGUCCUGGUUCAAGAGGCCCAUCAUCUACGACGUCCGCGCGCGACCCAACCUCGUCGAGAGCACCUCCGGGAGCCGGGAUCUCCAGAUGCCAUGGGCAAGGGACAGACUUGCAUCGACAUCGUGGUCAUUGCCGAAUCGGUAGUAUUGCUAUAUCCGUAGUAUUGUUCUACCGGUAGUAUUGCUGUACAAGUUUACUGUAGUAUUUUGGAGCUCUGGUUUGAAGAUGUUCCUGGGUGUUUACUUCAUAGAUGUUCCUGGGUGUUCCUGGGUGUUUGUUUACUUCAUAGAUGUUCCUGGAUGUUCCUGGCUGUUUGCACUUCUUGGGUGGGUGUUUGCGCUUCCUGAGUGUUCUAAAUUCCUGGAUGAUGUGGACUACCGCAUGAUUGUAAUAUAUAUAAUAUACUCAUUUUGGACGUCAUUUUUGAAAAUUUGUGUGGUUGAAAUAUUGGAAAUAUUGAUCA
Molecule: RNA transcript, 1775 nt
Organism: Triticum aestivum (bread wheat)
Lineage: Eukaryota; Viridiplantae; Streptophyta; Magnoliopsida; Poales; Poaceae
Gene name: inositol-pentakisphosphate 2-kinase IPK1
Exons: 6
Source: RefSeq, a predicted model, not a curated record